Molecule: ribosomal RNA, 512 nt
Filed under: uncultured bacterium
Lineage: Bacteria
Description: partial 16S ribosomal RNA
Rfam family: Bacterial small subunit ribosomal RNA
Source: RNAcentral
GAUGAACGCUGGCGGCAUGCCUAAUACAUGCAAGUCGAACGAGAGGAAGGAAAGCUUGCUUUUCUGAAUCUAGUGGCGAACGGGUGAGUAACACGUAGGUAACCUGCCCAUGUGCCCGGGAUAACUUCUGGAAACGGAUGCUAAAACCGGAUAGGUAGCAGACAAGCAUUUGACUGCUAUUAAAGUGGCUAAGGCCAUGAACAUGGAUGGCACUGCGGUGCAUUAGCUAGUUGGGGAGGUAACGGCCCACCAAGGCGACGAUGCAGAGCCGGCCUGAGAGGGCGGACGGCCACAUUGGGACUGAGACACGGCCCAAACUCCUACGGGAGGCAGCAGUAGGGAAUUUUCGUCAAUGGGGGGAACCCUGAACGAGCAAUGCCGCGUGAGUGAGGAAGGUCUUCGGAUCGUAAAGCUCUGUUGUAAGAGAAAAACGACAUUCAUAGGGAAUGAUGAGUGAGUGAUGGUAUCUUACCAGAAAGUCACGGCUAACUACGUGCCAGCCGCCGCGGUAA